AGUAUUAUAGCUGAAUGGUAGAGUGCAUGCUUAGCAUGCAUGAGGUCCUGGGUUCAAUCUCUAGUAUCUCUA
This 72-nucleotide transfer RNA is filed under the name Camelus bactrianus (Bactrian camel). It matches the Rfam family "tRNA". From Rfam's summary of the family: Transfer RNA (tRNA) molecules are approximately 80 nucleotides in length. Their secondary structure includes four short double-helical elements and three loops (D, anti-codon, and T loops). The record is from Rfam by way of RNAcentral. RNAcentral also lists the same sequence under 2 other names. Lineage: Eukaryota; Metazoa; Chordata; Mammalia; Artiodactyla; Camelidae.